This 1486-nucleotide ribosomal RNA is filed under the name uncultured Bacteroides sp. RNAcentral describes it as "bacterial SSU rRNA". It matches the Rfam family "Bacterial small subunit ribosomal RNA". The record is from RNAcentral. Lineage: Bacteria; Pseudomonadati; Bacteroidota; Bacteroidia; Bacteroidales; Bacteroidaceae.
AGAGUUUGAUCCUGGCUCAGGAUGAACGCUAGCUACAGGCUUAACACAUGCAAGUCGAGGGGCAGCAUGGUCUUAGCUUGCUAAGACUGAUGGCGACCGGCGCACGGGUGAGUAACACGUAUCCAACCUGCCGUCUACUCUUGGACAGCCUUCUGAAAGGAAGAUUAAUACAAGAUGGCAUCAUGAGUCCGCAUGUUCACAUGAUUAAAGGUAUUCCGGUAGACGAUGGGGAUGCGUUCCAUUAGAUAGUAGGCGGGGUAACGGCCCACCUAGUCUUCGAUGGAUAGGGGUUCUGAGAGGAAGGUCCCCCACAUUGGAACUGAGACACGGUCCAAACUCCUACGGGAGGCAGCAGUGAGGAAUAUUGGUCAAUGGGCGAGAGCCUGAACCAGCCAAGUAGCGUGAAGGAUGACUGCCCUAUGGGUUGUAAACUUCUUUUAUAAAGGAAUAAAGUCGGGUAUGCAUACCCGUUUGCAUGUACUCUAUGAAUAAGGAUCGGCUAACUCCGUGCCAGCAGCCGCGGUAAUACGGAGGAUCCGAGCGUUAUCCGGAUUUAUUGGGUUUAAAGGGAGCGUAGAUGGAUGUUUAAGUCAGUUGUGAAAGUUUGCGGCUCAACCGUAAAAUUGCAGUUGAUACUGGAUAUCUUGAGUGCAGUUGAGGCAGGCGGAAUUCGUGGUGUAGCGGUGAAAUGCUUAGAUAUCACGAAGAACUCCGAUUGCGAAGGCAGCCUGCUAAGCUGCAACUGACAUUGAGGCUCGAAAGUGUGGGUAUCAAACAGGAUUAGAUACCCUGGUAGUCCACACGGUAAACGAUGAAUACUCGCUGUUUGCGAUAUACUGCAAGCGGCCAAGCGAAAGCGUUAAGUAUUCCACCUGGGGAGUACGCCGGCAACGGUGAAACUCAAAGGAAUUGACGGGGGCCCGCACAAGCGGAGGAACAUGUGGUUUAAUUCGAUGAUACGCGAGGAACCCUACCCGGGCUUAAAUUGCAGAUGAAUUACGGUGAAAGCCGUAAGCCGCAAGGCAUCUGUGAAGGUGCUGCAUGGUUGUCGUCAGCUCGUGCCGUGAGGUGUCGGCUUAAGUGCCAUAACGAGCGCAACCCUUGUUGUCAGUUACUAACAGGUUCCGCUGAGGACUCUGACAAGACUGCCAUCGUAAGAUGUGAGGAAGGUGGGGAUGACGUCAAAUCAGCACGGCCCUUACGUCCGGGGCUACACACGUGUUACAAUGGGGGGUACAGAGGGCCGCUACCACGCGAGUGGAUGCCAAUCCCCAAAACCUCUCUCAGUUCGGACUGGAGUCUGCAACCCGACUCCACGAAGCUGGAUUCGCUAGUAAUCGCGCAUCAGCCACGGCGCGGUGAAUACGUUCCCGGGCCUUGUACACACCGCCCGUCAAGCCAUGGGAGCCGGGGGUACCUGAAGUGCGUAACCGCGAGGAGCGCCCUAGGGUAAAACUGGUGACUGGGGCUAAGUCGUAACAAGGUA